AAUCUCAGUUGACUUCAAUGUUCGUUAGCAGGUCCGGACCAUAUCGAGAUACUCUGAAUUUGUUUGAAGACAUCACCAAUAUACAAGAAGGUGUUUGCUAGACAUGAUCAAACUUCACUGACGCCACCUCCGUAUGAAAAUCAUGCCGCAAAAAAUUAAUUUACAAUGAUUAUUAAGUUAACCAAUCAAUAUUAUGUUCAAACAGAUGUAGUAUAUCUUGAUCAUUAUAUUUUCUAUGCUAUGCAAACAAUGUUUUGGUCCUAAUUCAUGUAUAACCAAAUAACAAUCAGCGCACCAUGCUUCAC
Molecule: long non-coding RNA, 305 nt
Filed under: Capsella rubella
Lineage: Eukaryota; Viridiplantae; Streptophyta; Magnoliopsida; Brassicales; Brassicaceae
Description: long non-coding RNA (CRUB_LNC002510)
Source: RNAcentral